Molecule: ribosomal RNA, 311 nt
Filed under: uncultured bacterium
Lineage: Bacteria
Description: bacterial SSU rRNA
Rfam family: Bacterial small subunit ribosomal RNA
Source: RNAcentral
GAUGAACGCUAGCGGCAGGCUUAACACAUGCAAGUCGAGGGGUAGAGGAAGCUUGCUUCCUUGAGACCGGCGCACGGGUGCGUAACGCGUAUACAAUCUACCUUUUACAGAGGGAUAGCCCAGAGAAAUUUGGAUUAAUACCUCAUAGUAUUUUCGGAUCGCAUGAUUUGAUUAUUAAAGUUCCAACGGUAAAAGAUGAGUAAUGCGUCCAUUAGCUAGAUCGGUAAGGUAACGGCUUACCAAUGGCAAUGAUGGUAGGGGUCCUGAGAGGGAGAUCCCCACACUGGUACUGAGACACGGACCAGACUCCU